GACGAACGCUGGCGGCGUGCUUAACACAUGCAAGUCGAACGAAGUGGCGAACGGGUGAGUAACGCGUAAUCAACCUGCCCCUCAGAGGGGGAUAACAGUUGGCAACGACUGCUCAUACCGCAUACUGAAGGAGGGGAUUGCGUCUGACUAGGUAGUUGGAGGGGUAACGGCCCACCAAGGCGAUGACAAGUGGGCGGUGUGAGAGGAUGGACGGGCACGUUGGGAAUGUGACACGGCCCAGACUCCUACGGCAGGCAGCGGUGGGGAGUCUGCCGCAAUGGAAGAAAGUCUGACGGAGCAACGCCGCGUGAGUGAUGACGGCCUUCGGGUUGUAAAGCUCUGUUAAUCGGGACGCGGUACCGGAAUAGAAAGCCACGGCUAACUACGUGCCAGCGGCCGCGGUAAUUC
RNAcentral lists this ribosomal RNA (408 nucleotides) under uncultured bacterium. Its description in RNAcentral is "partial 16S ribosomal RNA". It matches the Rfam family "Bacterial small subunit ribosomal RNA", at positions 28 to 526 of the family's 1533-position model. The record is from RNAcentral.